CAAACGAAUUUGUUGAGAAUGGUCACGUGACCAAGCGUGAACUAAUGUCAAUUGUCAAUCUUUGUUAUUUAAUAUUUAUUAUUUGUAUUUUGUAAUUUGUAUACUUAUUUCAGAUUUCGGACGAUGGACCAUGGUCUUAGGUCAAUGAAAUAACCCGAUCUAACUAUUAAAUAAUGUUACCUGAAACUGAACCGUGUCAGAAACAACUUGCAAGGGCAAAAUUACGAGAGUCAUUUCUAAGAUCUGUUAUGGAAUUAGAAGGGAAAGUUUGUAAAAUUGUAACAUAUGAAAAAUCAAUGUUGGAAGCUACAUUUUCGGGUUGGAAUCCAGAUGGCUCAGAGAUACUUGUUCAAAAUAUGAAAACACCUGCAAAUUUACAAAUGGAUUCUGCUAUUUUAAGAACACCAGAUAUUCUAUCAAUUACCUUUGUAAAUAGUCUCGAAUAAAGUUAAAACAUACCAA
Long non-coding RNA from Pieris napi, 462 nucleotides. RefSeq lists it as uncharacterized. The record is from RefSeq and is a predicted model, not a curated record. The transcript has 2 exons. NCBI's taxonomy places the organism in Eukaryota, Metazoa, Arthropoda, Insecta, Lepidoptera, Pieridae.